GAUGAACGCUAGCUACAGGCUUAACACAUGCAAGUCGAUGGGAAACGCCAUCGAAAGCUUGCUUUUGAUGGGCGUCGACCGGCGCACGGGUGAGUAACGCGUAUCCAACCUGCCCAUCACUUGGGGAUAACCUUGCGAAAGUAAGACUAAUACCCAAUGAUAUCUCUAGAAGACAUCUGAAAGAGAUUAAAGAUUUAUCGGUGAUGGAUGGGGAUGCGUCUGAUUAGCUUGUUGGCGGGGUAACGGCCCACCAAGGCAACGAUCAGUAGGGGUUCUGAGAGGAAGGUCCCCCACAUUGGAACUGAGACACGGUCCAAACUCCUACGGGAGGCAGCAGUGAGGAAUAUUGGUCAAUGGGCGAGAGCCUGAACCAGCCAAGUAGCGUGCAGGAAGACGGCCCUAUGGGUUGUAAACUGCUUUUAUAAGGGAAUAAAGUGAGAGUCGUGACUCUUUUUGUAUGUACCUUAUGAAUAAGGACCGGCUAAUUCCGUG
Molecule: ribosomal RNA, 492 nt
Filed under: uncultured bacterium
Lineage: Bacteria
Description: partial 16S ribosomal RNA
Rfam family: Bacterial small subunit ribosomal RNA
Source: RNAcentral